Non-coding RNA from Paralichthys olivaceus (Japanese flounder), 2300 nucleotides. NCBI's taxonomy places the organism in Eukaryota, Metazoa, Chordata, Actinopteri, Pleuronectiformes, Paralichthyidae. The record is from RefSeq and is a predicted model, not a curated record.
GGAAGCACGGUGCAAUGUCCCGGAUUAAGAAAGCGCAAAUGUGCCGACAGCGCGCCAAGUGCUACACAAAUGUUUACUUACAAUUAAAGCCUUUGUUCGAUUAAACACACAUGCAGAACAUAGACCCGGAAGCAAUUUACGACCCAGUGCAUUGGAAGAAAAACACGUGUAUAAACCAAACCCCUUUAUUUUGCCUCAGAUUACAGCAAAUUAUAAGGCAGAGACGAGGGAUUUCAAGGACGCGUGGACUUCAUUUUAAUCGAAGAGGCUGAGAGUGGAGUGGAAGAGUGACACACAGAGGAGAGAAGUUCAUUAUUCCGCUGAAAAGGAAACCAAUGGCUUUCACAGUCGCCAUGGUAACUGGCCUUUCUCUUGCCGUCAGACCAAUGAUAAGGUUUGGGCCUGAAAGACGUGCCAGACCUGCUGCCAAAGCAUCAGCCUCCACCUCACCCUGCAGACAUGGCUGAACACACACGCAUGCAUACACACAAACACGCACUCUCUCACAGGGCACAACUCUUAUACAUGUUUUCGAGCAUAUUUUAUUUCCUUGCGUUUCCAUACAUCCCGGCAAGCAUAUGUGUCAAGACAUCUUUAGCGUUCACACAUUCACAUUCUUGUUGUCUCUGCUACCUGUCUGUGACCCGGCCUCUCUCCGAUGAUGGAAUCGUCACACACUCUCAUGCCACAUGUCAGACAGAGACAAGAUCAAGCCACGUUCACACGGUCUUCCUUGAUGCAAACGUAAACACAUUCAUGCAUUCAGUUAGUCAGUUGUCUCUCAGGCAUGCCCUAUUUUUAAACUGUAAGCACACCUACACACAUUCUCCCAUGCACAGGCACACCCACUGCGGCCCAUGUCAUGGUAGGAGACUGUCCUUGUCUCGGAGAACACCCAGUGCAGUCGUAACACAAGGGAAAAUUAGUCAGGUGAAGUAAAUCUUGACACAUGACACUAGUCGUCUGUUUUUUAAGUUUUUUGCAUCACCACCCCCAUAUUUAAUAGAACAGCACCUACUGAUUAUUGCAUGCUCUGAGCUAGUCUGGUAAUUGCGCUGUACAUACCUGUCCAGGGUGUAAGCCCGUCCGCCGAACAUGGGGCCCCUCUGUUAGAUCGCUCGUGUUAUCAUCGUAAAUGAGAGUGGGAGCCUCCUAUCACCUCAUUCAGUAUCAGUCAUUGUCAGUGUGCAUCCACCAUUCUGUGUUCCCACAGUUGGAAGAAGUCUGUUCAAAAGAAGGUUUGAAAGGUGCAUGUGUUCAGAUUUUCACUCUGCGCUUCAGUCGACUUGUGUUUAUUAAGAGAGUUGAAUCUGACAAAACCAGUAAAUCGGCUGAGAAGCUUUGAGAAUCACCCUGUCAUAAGUUAAGUCAUGAUGUUCAUUUGGCAUGUGAAUCAGCACACAGUACCUAAACCUGCGGUAAUUAUCAUGACGUGAAUGAGUCAUACAUGUGAUUAGUUGUGGUGUUUUGUCUGCAACCACUAAAGCAUGGCAAAUAUAACAUCACACUCUUCUUCUGUAGUUAUUCCGGGUGGUUUGUCUUCACCAAUAUCAGCUUCUCUUUUAACUUUAAAUCAGAGACGCUGCUUAUCUCUUCAUCUCGUCAUUUUAUCAGUAACCAGUCAGGUCCUUUUGCUCGUCCUGCAGUUGCAAAACAGAUUUUCAACACCCACUCUUACUUCUUACGUGCGUGUGUAGCUGCUAAAUAUUUGGUCUGUGUGUGGCAACAUGACAUAUUUUACAUUUUUGUGUACUUUGUGAAUAAUUUGUUAUUGACAAGGUCUCGCCUGGUAAGAUGCUGAAUGUUCCAUCAUGAAACUUGGGGAAAGAAGAAUUGUUUAUAUAUUUAUUGUUAAAAAUAAGGGGUGAUAGCUUUAGAGAUAAUAAAGUCUCACAAAGAGAUCAGUCUGAUUUCUCAGUAUUUGUCUGCUCGUUCCAGGGAGAAGCAAACUGGAAUGAGGAGUGGCCACAGAAGUUUGUCACUCAAGCUCUGACUGAAAACACACUCAGUGCACAUUCAGCCAUUUUACAUUUGUAGGUAAAUAACAACAACAUACCAAUGCUAAAAAUGCCGGGUUUGAUUUGUUUGUUUUUAUUAUUACCUUUUUUUACUGCUGCGAUGUACUACUAUGCAUUUUUUAAUUCCAGCACUUUGCGUGCCUGACUCACAUCAGCCCAAAGGAACAGCAAAUGCAUUACGUAAAUUUAGCGCUCUUUGUUUAUCCGCGAUCAACAAACAAGUAUAAAGAAUAUAUAUGUAUAAUUAUAAUUAUUGCUUUGCUCUCUCACUCAAUCAAUAAA